GAGCUAGUUGAUAGCAGAUUAGGUUCAGAUUUCAACAAAAAGGAAGCUCUGGUGGUGAUCAAUGCGGCUCUCCUAUGCACCAAUGUCACUUCAAACCUUAGGCCUUCUAUGUCGUCAGUAGUAAGUAUGCUUGAAGGAAGCACUGCAGUUCCCGAAUUUGUGCCAGAGUCAAGUGAAGUAAUGGAUGAAAAGAAAAUGGAAGUAAUGAGGCAGUAUUACUAUCAGAAGGAAGAAAAUAAGACAAGCAAGUUACAAACACAGAGUCGGCGUUUAUCAAAUGAUGGACCAUGGACUGCUACAUCUUCAUCAGCUGACCUUUAUCCUAUCCACCUUGAUUCUUCCUAUUUGGAGGAAAGAAACUAAGAUUGCUAGUAAAUAAUUUCACUGCCAACUUGAUGUCCUGCUAUUGUGUCUUGUGAUGAAACUGUGAUUUAUAUCUCUGGCAUUUUUUUUUACAUAUAUUAAGAUGUUACAAAUUUAUUGUUGAAUCAUUUUGAAGUAUGAAGUGCUUUCCUAAUGCAUUGGAUCUUCUACAUAAUGUAUAUAAGUCAUCUCUGAAAUAUGAUAUUGGUCAUUUUUAUUUCCUUGUAACAAUCUCCUCAUGGUUCAGCUCCUUGCAGUAGCUUAUGAGUUAUAUUUUUCAGGUAGUAACUGUUCCAAUGCUUUUUAUGAAUGCUAUAAUUGUUGAAGCUUAAAAAGUGGUGAAUAGGUUUUCCUUAAAAGAUCGCACAUCAAUUAUGCAUCUAUAUAUCACAUGUUUUUCACUUUUUACAUACCUUAUGUAACAUGCAAGCUGAACAUACAAAAAAUUCUACAUGAAUUUGUCAUGCGUAAGUUAUGAUAACCUAAUCAGCAUGAUUUAAAUAUACAAGCUGAUAAUUUUUCCCUGGUUUUAACUUAGGAUUGAUAUUUCUAUGAUUACCUGAAAUAAAGAUAAGACGAAGGAUUUAAGGGUUUAGUGAAUGAAGGGAUAUAACAUAUGUUCUGAACGGGCAGAAUUGGAUGGUUCCUCUGGUGGAUCUGAUGUACAUGGUGAUGAGCUCAAUUUUACAAUGAUUCAAUGAAAGAGUACCUGCAAAUAUGGGGUUUGCUGUUUAACUUUUGAUUUAGAGAGAAUGAACUUUGGGAAUUAUAUCCAUUAAAUGAUGAGGCAACAUAUUAUUGAAUGCAUGUGUAAAAAAACUUUACAGUGACGGUGCAUUCAAAUUAAACUCUAAUUAUAAAUGGCAAUAUUAAUUUUUCAAGACCUGCAUUUGGAAACAGAUCUUUUUGAAUAUUAACUUGUCCCAUAGGAGAUUUCUCUAUAAUAUAUUUGCAACUUUGCAAGGUUGUUAUAUUUAGGUGGAUGAUGCCAAAGAAAGACCCAAAAACGUGAGUGCACCUACCACACAUUGUAAUAAAGAUUAAAGAAUCAUCAAGGAAAAUACUCACAAGAUAAACUGAUCGUAACAUGCAGGGUCGUCUUGUUUUUCUAUAUAUAUAUAUAUAUAUAUAUAAUAAAAUACCAUAUUGAUUUUAAAUUGUGGAUGCGACUAUGGUUGUUGCGAUUGUGGUCGCUGCGGAUAAUGUUGUUGUGGCAAACUGGCUAAGUAUAAAUAUUCUAACAAAAAUACGACACAACCUCAUGUGUUUAUAACGUCAUUUAUCCAAACCUUAGGCUCAAACAAUCUACACAAUAUUACAAACAAAAAUAUUUUUCCACAACAGUUUGACACUAUGUUUUUAGUCGAUUCAUAAAUGUAAGGGUGAGCAGAAAGUAAUGAUCGUACCCGUAAAAUUCAAGCCAACCGUGAGUUUGACGGACGGGAAAAAACUGAGUGUCGGGUGCAUAAACAAAAAAGAAAGUAAAAAAUUAAGGUCAACUUACCACAAGCCCAUAAUGCAAAGCAAAGGUCAAGUCCAAUCUACAAAUUUUUCCUCGAAAGCAAGCCUGACUAUAGAAAACAAUAUAAUAUUAUAUUUGAAAGCUUCUCUUCCCAUCUUUUCUACCUCAAAAUAUGCAGAAAACUUCGGUAAAUAAAAACUAAAGGUUUUUUUAGUGUAAAUUUACACUGUGUAUUUUGGUGUAGAAAAAAAAAACGUGGGGUGGGAAGAGACACUUAGGACGCAGAAAACACACAUUAGAAAAUCAUGAGUUUCAUGUCAAAAAUAUUCAUAAAUCAUUUCUUUAUUUCUCUAGUGCACGAGAGUAUUUGAGGAAACUUUAUUCCGUAAAAUAUCAUUGAUCGAUAUGUUUGAUAUGUAUGUGCAAUUCAUGUCAAGGUUUCCAAAGUAUCCUGAAGGGGAUUCCUCGGUGAACCCAUUUGCAUAUGGUUUACAUAAACUUGUGGGGGAAAAUCAAACUUAAAGCUUAGUGUGUCCACCAUGUUCGUCUUCAUCAUCUUUUUGUUGAGUAUUUGAAGCGGUCCCCCCAACAUAAAAUGUUCUCACAAAAGAAGCUUUCAUUAUAUAUAAUGCCCCCAGUGCACUCUUUAAACAUUUUAUUUAAGAAUUUUUUUAUUGAGAAAGUUGAACACUACGAUUUUCAAUAGGUUAACUUUACGCAUUUCAUAAAAAUUCUAUAUACUUACUACUAUUUAAAGUAUUAAAGAGUAACCAGAACACUCGUCAUCAUUUGUCAUAAUAAUGUUAAUAAAACAAUUGUCUAAUACAUUAUUCUCACGUAUCUUCGUCAAAUGCCACAAGUUGGAAGUGUGAAACAAAAAUCGGAUUACGAAAUUUGGAGGACAAUUAAGAUUUUUUGUCAACAUAUUAUUUUUUAUAUUACUAGUAGUCUAAUAUAUUCAUAUAUUUAACUCAAGUAGUCAGCCUCCUUCAAGAAACUAUAUAUUUAACUCAACUACCCUCCUUCAAGUAGCCACCUUCAUUUUAAUUCUUAUAUAUUUUUAAUUCAUAUAUUUUAAUUCAUAUAUUUAACUCAAUUGUAGCCUCCAAGAAACCUCCUACAAGGAAAUGAGUAUCCCCUCUUUAUCCUCAAGAAACCUUAAAUUUUACAUUUCUAACUACAUACUUAUAUAUGUAUGCUGGCAAACAUGUUUAAGAUAUUUCAUUAAAUUUUGUCUAUUUUACAUUUCUAACUAUAUAAACACUUAUGAUUUCUCAUAAGUCAUAACCUGAUCCUUUCCCUUCAACUCUUUGUCAACAAUAUAUACACAAACAUAACAUAUAUAGUCUUUUUCUCUUGCUAUUUAAUUUCUUAAUAUACCAUCCUUUCACUUUCACAUUCAAAAGCUGAUUUAUUUUCUUCAACUAUUUGGCUUCAAAUAUGAAGCUUAUCAUUAUGAACAUGUCUUUGCCUCUAUUAUUCCAUCUUUUGCUUCUUGCCUUUUGUUUUAUCCCUUCAUUUACUAGUGGAGCUACUCUAUUAGAAGAAGAAGGUAAGCACCUUAAUUAUAUUUGUAUUCUCUUAGUUAUAAAUUAUUAUCACCACAAUAUUACAUUACUAGAAAAUAUUUAAUUAUCAAUGCAUGUUAUAGAGACUAAAUAAAUUAAUCUUCAACUUUUGCACAUGUAACACUUAAUGACCAAAUUAGAAAUGACAAUUAGACCCGUAUCAAGUAGAUACCGGAAACCCACAAUAAGUAGGGUAAAAAUCCACAUUUUGGAUACAAGUACGAGUAUGUGUAAUUAUCNNNNNNNNNNNNNNNNNNNNNNNNNNNNNNNNNNNNNNNNNNNNNNNNNNNNNNNNNNNUAUAUAUAUAUAUAUAUCAAUUUAAAAAAAAAAUACAGAACUAUUAAACUAUUACACAUUUUUAAUAAAAGUGUUUAUUUAUAACAUAAAGCAAAUACAAUGUGUAUUUGUUAGCAGAGAUAUGAACUUUAACACGAGAUUAAUAAUAAUUUGUUUAUAAUUUUUAUGAGUCAACAUUAAAAUCUUUUAAAAAAAUUUAAUUCUAUUAAAAUUAUAUGAUAUUUUAUAAUUGAUCGAUUUAUUUUUAACAAAUAUACGGAUAAUGCGGUGCCGAUAUGGGUACUUAAAUACCUAUAUGAUAUGGUCACAGAUAAAUAUUAUUAACCACGUGUGUAUCAAUCUAGGUACGAGAAUUUUUCAAACUGCUAGUAUAAUGAUGCAUACUAUAGUACAGUUGCAAGACAAUAUGAUUGCAACAUUACGAAGAUGUAUAUAUAUAUGUUGGUUUUGAAUAUACAAAUUGGUCUUCUUUAAUUUUUUCAAACCCUUGUUUUUUAUUUUUUUCAUCUCUAGUUUUUGUUACUAACUCAUACUAUUUUUAGUAUAAUAAUAGGGAAACGUUCAAUUUUAAUUUGCUAAGACAAAAUGUUGCAACAUUAUGAUGAUGCAAAUAUGGUUAAUUUUGAUUGAAUUAAUAUGCACAGUACAAGUUAUGAAAGACAUAGGAAGGACACUUGGGAAGAAGGAUUGGGACUUCAGCAAAGAUCCAUGUAGUGGAGAAAGUAACUGGACAUCUUCUGUGCAAGUCAGUGGAUCUGAAAAUGCCGUCACUUGCAAUUGUUCUUUUGCCAAUGCUACUGUCUGCCAUAUUAUUAGCAUGUAUGUCCCCUGAUUUCCACCUGUGUGUAUCUCUUUUUUGUGUUUGCUGGAGAUAUCUUUUUGUGUAUAAUGCUCUCAGGACACUAGUUAAAGAUAUAAAAAAGGUAAUUUUUGAAUUGGAAACAUCACUUUUUUAUAUUUUACUAACAUUGACUACGCAAGUUUCAAGAUAUUUUUACUAUAUUGAGAUUCCUUAAUUAGUGUCCCGAGACACUAGUUAGCAUUUUCCUAAACAUUAUCCUCCGACUUGGGAGUCAGAAUCUUCCGUACUUCGUACUUGGUUAGCCUUUGUGUCAUUUCCCUUUCAUCACUUUAGCUCGUAUUUCAUAUCGGUAUAGUGUAUUUUUUCAAUCAAAUACCGUUGGUAGACCUGAUAAUUAUAACCGGCACAUCUUAUCUUCCUUAAAUUUACUCUUGAGACCUACCUUAAACGGUCAACCAUCACGGCCGAUAAAAGAAAGACAUUUAAACGGGCCGGCCGGACUUGAAACCAACUUCAUGGGCUUCCUUCCUUGCUCGUGUUAUUAUGAUUAAUCUCGGUUGAAGAACUCAACCUGACCACUUUUAAUGGGAUUUAGGAAAAAAAAGUCCCAAUAAAUAUAAAUGAUAGGAAAAAUCCCGAGAAAUAUGAUCAGCUACACCAAAUGACAUUACGUUGUCCAAAUAAAUUGAACUUGGGAUCUUUAAAUGAUGUCUUGAGAUCGAUUCUUAUAUAUAAAAAGUAAAAUAUAAUAGAAUUAUAUUUCUAAUCAUAUAAUAUUCAAGUAGCUUAUGAGCUUAUAACUUAUCAUUUUUUCUUCCAAUUUUAUCCCUAUCAUCUUACUUAAAAAAAAAUUAAAUAUUAAUUAAACAUAUCUUUUUUAUGUCAUUUCAUACUUAUAAGCUAGUUCAGUCGCUAAUUUUACCAAACACUACAAAUUCAAUCAGCUAGCUUAUAAGCUAUCCGCUAUAAGUUCAUCUGCUAUAAGCUAACUUAUCAGCUAUCUGCUAUUUUUUUACCAAACAGAGCCAUAACCUAGGACAUACUACUCAGGCUCGGUUUGGUAAAAAAUAGCGGAUAAUUGAUAAGCUAGCUUAUAGUGGAUGAACUUAUGGCUCGGUUUGGUAAAAAAUAGCGGGUAGCUGAUAAGCUAGCUUAUAGCGGAUAACAUAAGCUAGCUUUUAUCUUAUAGCGUAUAAGCUGGCUGAUUGAAUUUGUAGUGUUUGGUAAAAUUAAUGGUAAUACUAGCUUAUAAGUAUGAAAUAACAUAAAAAAAAGAUAUGUUUAAUAUUUAUUUAUUUUUGAGUAAGAUGAUAGGGGUAAAAUUGGAAGAAAAAUUAUAAGAUAUAAACACAUAAGCUACUUGAAAUAGCAUUUGAAAAUAAGCUAUAAGCUAGUAAAAUAAGCUAUAUAUAAGCUAAAAACUCCUGCUAUAAGCUAGCUUAUUGACCUUCUCAAACAGAGCUUAUAGCAGAUAGCUUAUAAGUUACUCCGUACCACAAUAUAUGUCACUUUGGCCAAAUUACGCAAAUUAAGAAAUAUAAUUAUUGUUGUAUGGAAAAUAGAAAUUAUGAGUUAGUUUACAAAAUUAUCCUUCAUUAAUGGUAUAAGAAAGAUAAAUUGAAUAAUUGAAGGAAUAUAAAGUAAUAAAUAGUGAAGAGUAUAAUAGGAAAAUUAGCAUUAAAUACUUCAUUGAUAAUGUAAAGUAACUUAUAAUAUGGUACAAAAUUUUUUUCUCAAAGUGACUUAUAAUUUGGUAGGAGGGAGCCGACUUUUAGCUUUUGCUUAUAAACUGUUACGACUAUAAACUAGCAUUGGCCUUCCCAAAACCCUCAAAUUGAUCACCAUCAACUAGCUAGUGACUUAAAAUAAUUUGGCUUAAAUGCAAUUUUGAUCUUUUAUUUUCAAUUUUUUGAAGUUUUAAUCCCCCUGUUUUAAAAGCCAUAAUUUCUGUCCCCUUUCAGUUUUAUAGUCAAUUUUGAUGAUGUGUCAAAGACAUUAAUAAGAUGGCAUUGCACACUUGGCUAAAACAUUAUAUAUGUCACUAAACUUUUCUUCUAUUUCAAUAAUAUUUUUUGAAAAAAAUAUCUUACUUAUUAAAAUAAUAGUAUAUUAAAUUAAUAUAAAUAUUUUUGAAAUAUUAUUUUAAUAAUUAUUUGUUUUUAAAAUAAAUAUUAUUGAAAUAAAAGAAAAGUUUAAUGACAUGGAUGGUAUUUUGGUUAAGUGUGUAGUGAUACUCAUUAAAAUUGAUUCUAAAAUACAAUCCCCCCAAAAAAAAUUAAUUCUAAAAUUGAGUGGAGCACCAAAACUCGAGAAAAAUUGAAAUAGGAAACUAAAAUAUUAGUUUUUAAAAUAGGCGAUCAAAACUUCAAAAAAAAAUUAAAAAUAGAGGAUGCAAAUUACAUUUAAACCAAAUAAUUGAUACCAUAGCACCUCAAAUUAUGUGUUCUUCUCGUUCCAAUUCCAUGAACCCAUUAAGUCGCUUUUUUGUGUUUAGAAAUAAAACUUAAUUUUUUUGUGUUUAAAAACCAGAAUCCCACCAAAAAUAGAAGAUGAAAAAAUAAAAAUGUGAAAAAUGAAAAAUAGAAGAAAAAGAAACCCACUGCUUCAUCUUCUGGUCACCAUUGAUUGCUUCACUGCUAGAUGCAGAUGAAAUCGUACAAGAGUUAGGAGUUGCAGGUAACUGUUUCAAAAUCUCAGAUGAAGCCUUAAUUGUUUGUAGUAGUCUUCAUAGAAACACUGAAGAGAGAAUGGAAUGGUCAACAAAGAAUCAUCAUGGUGAAACGGGAACAAAGCAAUUUAGGGAUUUCAUUUUUUUGUUUGUUUUCAUUUUGUCUUUUGUUUUAAUAUUUUUAUUUUUAAUCUUUUUAUUCUAAAUGAUAAAUGAUAGAAAUGCCACGUGAUAAUGAUUAUGUGAGAAAAAACUUGUACAGUCAGCAUGUGUAGAUUUUGAUGAUGUGGCCGUUUGGAUUGACUUAUUCGAAUAAAUAAACUUUUAUGUAUUAUUAUCCGUUUUUCAAUGUAGUUUAUGAGAAAACAACUUAUAAAAAUACAAUUUUUGUAAGUGAAAACUUAUGAAUUAACAUAAAACUUUAUUUAUUUGUAUAAGUUAUUUUCAUAAGCUCAAAAAUAAGCUGAAUCCAAACUGACCCUAAAUGAGUGUGAAAAGUGGAUUAUCAGAAAUGUUAGGAUAAAACUCUUAAACAUCGUAGUUUGUUCCCACAGGACUCUAGAUAUUAGUCUGCGCGCAGAGAAUGUUCGGUUUACGACAAUAAAAAGAAUGUUAGGGAUAAAAAAUGAACUUACAUUUUUUAAUAGCGACAAAAACUAGAUUCCCCCUAUUUUACAGGGACCAAAAGGGAUAUUAACCCUUAAAUAAAAGUUGCAUUCUCUUGUUAAUUAUUGUAUUACAUACAAGUCAUUUAACCAGUGAUUUUGCAGUGUUCUGAAGUCACAAAAUCUUUCUGGCACACUUCCAAGUGAACUUGAGAGAUUGCCAUACCUCCAAGAAAUGUAUGUUAUCAUUCUAAAACCUUACUACUAAAUUUGUAUUUUAUCAUUAAGUUAUCAUAAUUUUAGUUGUAUGUUUGAUUCUGUAUGCUCAUUGUGGUACUACUUACAGUGAUCUCACACUCAACUACCUUAAUGGUACAAUCCCUCCACAAUGGGCUUCCAUGACCAAUCUUGUCAUCAUGUAUUUUCCCUUAACCCUAUUCUUUCAUUUCUUGCUAUUAUUUGAUUAAUGACAUUUACUUAGUAAAUGAUUCAGAGAAAUGGGUCAUGGUUUAUAUAAUUUUGGAAUAAAUAUACAAUCUUCUAAGUAGUUUUGCAUGCUUCUUAAUUUUGUGACAGUUCACUAUAUGGAAAUCGGCUAACUGGUUCAAUCCCAAGAGAACUUGGAAAUAUCACCACCCUCAAAACCUUGUAAGUCAUUUUUCUCAUGCCAAUUUUGUAUAAUUUACCAAGGAACUUAUAAAGUUUUGAAACUUGAAAUGUAUAGGGUUCUAGAGUUCAAUCAAUUAUCUGGAAACCUUCCUGCAGAGCUUGGGAAUCUUCACCAGCUUGAAACUCUGUAAGCCCCUUUCUCGAACUCCAAAUUGAUCACAUUUUCUAUAUUUCAACGUUGUUUUUAGAAUUGAAAGUUUGGCCUAACUCAUCCAUACAAAACCGACUUGUAAGGUGAUGAUUACCCUCAUAAACAUAUAUUUAAGCAAUAUCGCAACCGAUGUGGUACUUCUUAACAGUUGUCAAAUAGUAGUUAUAGUACUUUAGCACUAUAGUGUAGCAGAACUUUCACUACAGGAAAAGCUAUUGUUUUAGGAUGCAUGAUUUAGUUUUAUGUAUUGUCAAAUAGCGGCUAUAGUAGUGCCAUAGUGUUAAAGCAUAGUGGAAUUUGAACAAACUGCUAUUAUUUUAUUUUUUUGCAUCUACGAUUGACAAUACUGCUAUAUUUUGUUUGAAUUGGUUGAUUUAUUUUUAACUACCGAAAAUUUAUAUUCAGUGUUCAUUAGAAUUUUUUUUAUCUACAUUGUAUGCCUUUGAUUAUGAUUCUUUGAAGGAUUAGAUAACUCAGAUUCCUACACCUAGAAAAUAAGUGUGAUUUUAUCGCAAUCCGUAAUUCUCAUUUUAAUGUUGUUGUAGGCUUCUUACCUCCAACAAUUUUACUGGAAAUUUACCUGUAACAUUUGCUAACCUCACUAAGUUGAACCACGUGUAAGUAUUCUUUUCUUUUAGUUGCUUUUGUUACUCUAAAUUACGCCCACUGUAUUGCUGAUUAUAUCAAGAUCAAAUAACAUUUCUUUGUUGUUACCCUCUAACAACGCAGUCGACUUGGCGGCAAUCAAUUCUCUGGAACCUUACCUGAUUUCAUUCAGAGUUGGACAGGUCUUAAAAGGCUGUAUGAACCUUUUCUUUCUUGUUGUGAAAUUCUAAAUUAUCAAAUUAUAAAAGACAAUUAUGUCAACAAAAAUAAAUGUAUCUGUUCAUAUUAUUUAUUGGCUUAUCAAAAGAACAAAUUUUAAUUUCGACAGGGUGAUGCAAGGGAGUGGUUUGAGUGGCCCAGUUCCUUCUGGAAUUUCAUAUCUAAAAAACCUCACUGAUUUGUAAGUAUGAUGUUUAUUGUUGUCGUCUAUGUAGCACGGACACUUCAUAUUGAUGGCAUGUUCGGCGUUUGACACUAACCCGACACCGACAUACGUAAAUACAUUUAAUAUCACUUCCAUUUUUUCAAAUUAUUACUUCUGUCUGCAUGUCAGUAUCGAUUUUGGUGUUUAAAUUUGUCUCGGUGCUUCAUAGAUUGUGUGUGGUCAAGGAUUCUUUUCCUUCUUUUUAUUGAGUUUCAAAAUACUUAAGAUAUGUUAUGCAGGAAAAUAAGUGACUUGAAAGGACCAGAUUCUCCUUUUCCGCAACUUAUUAACUUGACAGUUCUGCAAACAUUGUGAGUGAAUUUUUUGUUGGUUUUUGUUAUAGAAAAAUAAAACCUAGAUGUUAUAGCCUUUUUACACUUAAACUUUACAUAUCAUCAAAUUGUUUGACAGAGUACUGAGGAGUUGCAAUCUUAUAGGAACAGUUCCUGAAUAUCUUGGUAAUAUUACCACUUUAAGAAACUUGUAAGUAAUGCAGUUAUUUUGAAUACGUUCUGGUUGGUGUUAUGCUUGGAAGUUUCAUGCAUUAUUCAUAUGCUUUUAGAACAGGAUGCUUCAUUAAGAAGCUUUUCUGAAACCAUUAUUUUCUCGAGUAAUACUACCUAUUCUGAAAGUUAUUUCCUUUUCAGAGACCUCAGUUUUAACAAAUUAAGUGGACAGAUUCCGAACACCUUGGGCGUCCUCGAGAACAUAAAUAUUCUGUAAGCAAUAUCCUCUAGUUUUUAGGCCUGAACUAGGGUGGCUAACUAAAUAAAUAGUUUGAUUCAUCAAUUAAUGGUAAGUAUUAUAAAUUGACUUAUCUUAUUGUUUUACCUAGAUUCUUAACUGGAAACCUUUUUACCGGGCCACUUCCAAAUUGGAUUGCUAGACCAGACUACACGUGAGUAAUCCUUCAAAUGCUACUUAUCGAUUUUUCAUAUUUCCAUACCACAAAAUGUUACAUUACAUAUAGUUGUUUGUUCCAUCUUUAAUUCUGAAUCAUAUUUAUAAAUUGACACAGAGAUCUAUCAUAUAACAACUUGAGCAUUGCAAAUCCAGAGCAGUUGACAUGUCAACAAGGAACGGUGUAAGAAUCAAAUUUUUGAUAUUUGCGUACUUUUCUGUUUCAAUAAUUUUAAGAAACAAACUAAUCUUUCGCUAUUUAUCAUGUGGCUUAGGAACUUGUUUGCAUCAUCUUCAAAGAGAAGUAACUUGUAAGAUUUAUACUAUUCAUAAGUCAAAAUAAACUGUUUUACAUGAUUAUGCUUACAUGUUACACACCUUCAUUAUUUUCUCAGGGGAAUGGUUUCAUGUUUGGGGAACAAUGGCUGUCCUAAAAGUAAGUUGAUUUGUCAUGGAUUUCCUUUAGAUUGUUCAUUUCAAUUUAUUGAUAACUUUUUCUAAUGUCACUCCAGAGUCCUACUCUCUCCAUAUCAAUUGUGGUGGGAAGUCCAUAACUUCUAAUAAAAGCUUGACAUAUGACGAUGAUUCAAAUGAAGUUGGACCAGCAAGCUUUCACCUGAGUGGUUCGAACUGGGCUCUUAGCAACACUGGUCACUUCUUUGAUAGUGGCCUUAAGGACUACUAUACUUGGUCUAAUAAAACUAAUCUUGUCAUGGAAGAUGCCGAACUGUAUACGGAUGCACGUGUUUCUCCUCUUUCUCUAACAUAUUAUGGAUUUUGCCUGGGAAAUGGAAACUAUACAGUAAAUCUCCAUUUUGCCGAGAUAAUGUUUACAGAUGAUCAAACAUAUAGCAGCCUUGGAAGGCGUAUAUUUGACAUCUAUAUUCAGGUGAAUGAUCUCAUCAUAUUAUCUUUGUCAUUAAGUGAUUAAGUUGUUUAUUAUUGAACAAACUUCCUUUGACCAUAAUGAACCAUGUGUGUUUUGAUUGAAGUAUUGCAGGGAAGGUUGGUGCUGAAGGAUUUCAAUAUUGCAAAAGAAGCCGGUGGAGUUGGUAAGGCAGUCAUAAAGAAGUUCACUGCUAUUGUGACUAAUAAUAACUUGGAGAUUCGCCUUCUUUGGGCUGGGAAAGGGACCACUGCUAUUCCAUUUGGAUCAGUAUAUGGUCCUCUUAUAUCGGCUAUAUCGGUUGUUCCAGGUCAGUAAUAGUUCUUCAUGGUUCUUCUUACACCAGCUUUUUUUCUUAUGUUUCUUAUAAAGUCAUUCUCAUCCUCUAAUCCAAUCUAUAUGUAAAUCUCCUGUACCAUAAUCAUGCAGAAUUUACACCCCCAGUGGAAAAAAAAGGAAGUAGCAUAUCUGUGGGGAGUAUUGUGGCAAUAGUAGUUGCUGGAGCACUAGUUUUCUUAAUUGUAUUUGGCAUAGCUUGGUGGAAAAUAUGUCGACGUAAGAUAGGUCCAUUAGAUAGAGGUAAGCAUUAAGAAGAUUCUUUAACUGUCUAACACUCGUGAAAGGAAAGGCUAGUUAUAUCUUAGGAUCAUGUUAUUGAACGUUGAGUCUAGUUAUAUCUUGAUAACAAGAAAGUUGCAAGCUUACUACAAAUGGAUUGUCUAUGUAGAGUAUCCAUAUUUAGUGUAAGAGAUCUUUGAUCUUUCUUUUACUUCAAUUAACAGAGCUGCAGAAUUUAGACCUUCAAACGGGUUUAUUUACAUUGAGACAAAUCAAAGAAGCGACAAACAACUUUGAUAUUUCAAAUAAGAUUGGAGAAGGAGGAUUCGGUCCUGUGUACAAGGUAUUUUUCAUACUAUAAUAAAUCCUCUUGGGUUACAAUUAUUUUAUUAUAAUUUUACAUGUCUUUUUCAACUUCUAACAAAAUAACAUUCCCCAAAAUGGUAGGGACGUUUGUCCAAUGGGACAUUGAUAGCAGUCAAACAACUUUCUUCUAAAUCAAAGCAAGGGAAUCGCGAGUUUUUAAACGAGAUAGGCAUGAUUUCGGCUUUGCAACACCCUUAUCUUGUUAAACUCUAUGGUUGUUGUGUGGAGGGAGAUCAGUUGUUGCUCAUAUAUGAAUACUUGGCAAACAAUAGUCUUGCUCGUGCUUUAUUUGGUAAUUUUUCCUAUAUUGUCUAUUUCGGUUGCUAUUUAUGUUUUAGUCCACAUUUUCUUACAUAGCACAUUACUAUGCGGUAUCGUGUUUUUAUUUUUAUUACAUUCACAAAUAAAGGUCCAGAGGAACACCAAAUAAGAUUAGAUUGGUCGAGAAGGAAGAAGAUAUGUGUUGGUAUUGCUAGAGGUUUGGCAUUUCUUCAUGAAGAAUCAAGACUGAAGGUUGUUCAUCGGGACAUCAAGGCCACUAAUGUGUUACUUAAUACGGAUCUCGACCCAAAGAUAUCUGAUUUUGGUUUAGCCAAGCUUGAUGAAGAGGACAAUACUCACAUUAGCACUAGAAUUGCUGGUACCUAGUGAGUAACUAUAAUUCUGCCUUCUCCGAGCUUACUAAAAAAUACUACAAAAAAUUAUCGAACUUAAUUUAAAUUUGAAAUUAUAUAAUAUAAAAGUCUGAUUUGAUGUUGGAUACUUAUAUCAAAUUAUUGCAAUGAUAUGUUACAAUUAUGCAGUGGAUAUAUGGCUCCUGAAUAUGCAAUGCAUGGUUAUUUGACGGACAAAGCAGAUGUUUAUAGUUUUGGAAUUGUUGCCUUGGAAAUCGUUAGUGGAAAGAGCAACACCCUUUAUCGGACAAAGGAAGAAGCAUUCUAUCUUCUUGAUUGGGUAACUUUAUGAUAUUCUUCCUUGUUCAUGUAAUUUUGAUUAUGCAUAGUAAGUAGAUAUUACUAUGACUUGGGUUUCAUAAAACUACUUUGUUUCAAUAGGCACAUUCGUUGAGAGAAAGUGGUGACCUAAUGGAACUCAUUGAUAGAAGAUUAGGUUCAGAUUUGAAUAAAAAAGAAGCUCUGGUGAUGAUCAAUGUGGCUCUUCUGUGCACCAAUGUCACCGCAAACCUUAGGCCCUCUAUGUCGUCAGUGGUAAGUAUGCUUGAAGGAAACACUGUGGUUCCAGAAUUUGUAGAUUCAAGUGAAGUAAUGGAUGAAAAGAAGAUGGAAGUGAUGAGGAAGCAUUACUAUAAGAUUGAAGAAACUGAGAUAAGUAAGUCAGAGACACAAACUCAGAGUUUAUUAAGUGAUGGACCAUGGACUGCUACAUCUUCAUCAGGCGUAGACCUUUAUCCUAUCCACAGUGGUUCUUCCUAUUUGGAGGGAAGAAGUUAAGUGUGUUUGUUGAUCAUGAAUUGCAUUUGUCAGCUUGAAGUCCUGCAACUAUGUCCUGUGAUGAAACCUUGAUGCAUAUAUCUUCAAAACUGAGUACUACCUCUGUCCAUAUUUACUAUGUCCUGUGAUGUAGUAACUGUUCCAAUGCUUUUUAUGAAUACUAUAGUUGUUGAAGCUUAAGAAGUGGUGAAUAGGUUUUCCUUAAAAGAUCAUACCUCAAAUACUCAAAUAUAUACUGUAUAAUAUAAUUUUUUAUUUUUUACAUACCUUAUAUAAGUUGUCAAGCUGAACAUGCA
RNAcentral lists this long non-coding RNA (14073 nucleotides) under Trifolium pratense (red clover). RNAcentral describes it as "long non-coding RNA (TPRA_LNC003574)". The record is from RNAcentral. Lineage: Eukaryota; Viridiplantae; Streptophyta; Magnoliopsida; Fabales; Fabaceae.